RNAcentral lists this long non-coding RNA (296 nucleotides) under Capsella rubella. RNAcentral describes it as "long non-coding RNA (CRUB_LNC001278)". Lineage: Eukaryota; Viridiplantae; Streptophyta; Magnoliopsida; Brassicales; Brassicaceae. The record is from RNAcentral.
AAAAUCUCAUGUGCAACCAAUAGAUAUUAAUUAGUAUAUUACAGUACAUGAUACAACUACAAGAUCCUUAUAUAUACUUAGGUGAAAUCAAAUUUUGCAGUGUAGGAGGCAGACAAUAUCUGAAUAACAUAAAUGUAUCCACGAGUGGCACAAAUAAAUAUCAUAUGCUUGAAGGAGACAAGCCCUACUGGUUGUGCAUGUUCCUACACCAAUAAGAUGCAGAAUCGUAGCUAAUUCAUGUGAUCAGAUCUGAAUAAUGUAUAUUGCUUAUGCACAUUGGAUGAUGCGUUGGGGUG